Molecule: ribosomal RNA, 465 nt
Filed under: uncultured bacterium
Lineage: Bacteria
Description: bacterial SSU rRNA
Rfam family: Bacterial small subunit ribosomal RNA
Source: RNAcentral
AACGAACGCUGGCGGCAGGCCUAACACAUGCAAGUCGAACGGGCUGUUCCUUCGGGGGCAGUCAGUGGCGCACGGGUGCGUAACACGUAGGUAAUCAACCCUCUGGUUGGGGAUAACACUUCGAAAGGAGUGCUAAUACCCGGUAUGGCGCAGCGGUACUCGGAUCGCGGCGAGAAAGACCCGCAAGGGUUGCCAGAGGACGAGCCUGCGGCCCAUCAGCUAGUUGGCGAGGUAACGGCUCACCAAGGCGAAGACGGGUAGCUGGUCUGAGAGGAUGAUCGGCCACACUGGAACUGAGACACGGUCCAGACUCCUACGGGAGGCAGCAGUGGGGAAUAUUGCGCAAUGGGCGAAAGCCUGACGCAGUCCCGCCGCGUGAGCGAUGAAGGCCUUCGGUCGUAAGACUCUGUGGGGAGGAGAAGAAUAAAGACCUGUGAAGAGCAGGCCUUGACGGUAGUCUCCUUA